GGAGUUAGCCGGUGCUUCUUCUGCGAGUAACGUCACAGAUGUAAGGUAUUAACUUACACCCUUUCCUCCUCGCUGAAAGUGCUUUACAACCCGAAGGCCUUCUUCACACACGCGGCAUGGCUGCAUCAGGGUUUCCCCCAUUGUGCAAUAUUCCCCACUGCUGCCUCCCGUAGGAGUCUGGGCCGUGUCUCAGUCCCAGUGUGGCUGAUCAUCCUCUCAGACCAGCUAGGGAUCGUCGCCUAGGUGAGCCUUUACCUCACCUACUAGCUAAUCCCACCUGGGCUUAUCCAUCAGCGCAAGGCCCGAAGGUCCCCUGCUUUCCCCCGUAGGGCGUAUGCGGUAUUAGCAGUCGUUUCCAACUGUUAUCCCCCACAAAUGGGCAAAUUCCCAGGCAUUACUCACCCGUCCGCCGCUCGUCAUCUUCAAAAAGCAAGCUUUUGAAAAUGUUACCGCUCGACUUGCAUGUGUUAGGCCUGCCGCCAGCGUUCAAUCUGAGCCAUAAUCAAACUACUGA
RNAcentral lists this ribosomal RNA (514 nucleotides) under uncultured bacterium. Its description in RNAcentral is "partial 16S ribosomal RNA". The record is from RNAcentral.